ACGGAAGGCAGCAGUGGGGAAUAUUGGACAAUGGGGGAAACCCUGAUCCAGCGACGCCGCGUGAGUGAAGAAGUAUUUCGGUAUGUAAAGCUCUAUCAGCAAGGAAGAAAAUGACGGUACUUGACUAAGAAGCUCCGGCUAAAUACGUGCCAGCAGCCGCGGUAAUACGUAGGUGGCAAGCGUUGUCCGGAUUUACUGGGUGUAAAGGGCGCGUAGGCGGGAUAGCAAGUCAGGUGUGAAAUCCAUGGGCUCAACCCAUGAACUGCACUUGAAACUGUUAUUCUUGAGUGUCGGAGAGGUAGAUGGAAUUCCUAGUGUAGCGGUGAAAUGCGUAGAUAUUAGGAGGGACACCAGUGGCGAAGGCGAUCUACUGGACGAUAACUGACGCUGAGGCGCGAAAGCGUGGGGAGCAAACAGGAUUAGAUAGCCUGGUA
Molecule: ribosomal RNA, 434 nt
Filed under: uncultured Lachnoanaerobaculum sp.
Lineage: Bacteria; Bacillati; Bacillota; Clostridia; Lachnospirales; Lachnospiraceae
Description: partial 16S ribosomal RNA
Rfam family: Bacterial small subunit ribosomal RNA
Source: RNAcentral